UUUGAAUUCUUGCUUUAAAAAUAUGUAAUCCACUUAAGAGUUUGGGAUCAUGCCUGCCACUCUGAAACAAUAUCUGAGAUGGAUAAGUGAACAUAUUUUGAAUGACACAAAUGGUUCCCAUCUACGGAAAGCAAUGACAGAAUAUGCAAAUGGUUAUGAAGAAAUGGAAGAAGAGAGAACCUCUCAGAAGGAUUGGGGAAUGAUGUCUAAUGGCUACAGGAAAGGAAAAAUGUGGAUGGAAUCACACUACAGGAAAGAACAAAGGCAAAAGAAAGACCCGGAAGAUGAGCCAGUUGAUCCUGAGGCUAAAUGAGGUGUUUUUGCUCAAAAGUAGUUUUAGCAGUGGUUGCGAAAGAAACAUGCUGACAGCUGAGGGAAGACUUCUGGCAGAUGGAGGCUAUUACAGAGAACCACAACUGAUCAAAGUACAGAGAAUAAGUGACUGCGGGAUAUCUAUAUGACACUUAUUGCUGGAGAUAGAGAGCCAGUGCUGAGAUGAAGAUGAGUGAAGACCUCUCCCUCAUCAAAGAAGCUUCUUUUUGCAACAUAUGAAAGCUAUUACUGAGGACCAGAACUGGUCGAAGUGGAGAGAAUAAGUAACUGAGGAGUGCCCAGCCCCAAAUGGGACAUCUGUAACAUGGUUCCUAUACCCAAGACUGAGAGAACAUUAUGGAAGGGGGCUACAAAGAUUCUAAGAGUCAGAGGACUGGAAGAACUGGAAGUACUGCCAACAAAAUACUUUCUUCUGGGCACGACAAGGCUUGUGUGCCCAUGGACUCUCAAAGUUAUGAUUGCUUGCAUAAGACCUGCAAGACUACACCAGUCGACAUUCUAACAUGGAUGGAGGAAGGCCUUACAAGGCCUCACACCUAGUUGAAUAGCUACAAGCAGUCAACAGUUGAUGUAGGAUAGUUAAGAGAGUUUUCUUUAGGGGCAAGCCCCUAUAUAAGUUGCCAAGGCCCACGGGGUCAGCCCUACACCUGUGUAUGUGGUGGCACCUGAAAUAUGUAAAUUUACAUUAAAGAACUAGGCAAAGGACCUGAAUUUCUCAAAAUACAGCCUUAAUUAUUGGUUAAAAAGUUUCAAUGUAUUUUAUUAACAAAUUUAUUAUAUAGAAUAAUGGGUUUCCUUAUGACUUUAUACAUGUACGUAAUAUAUUUUAAUCAUAUUCAUCCUCCACACCUUAACCUCUCUUGUUCCCUCCCCUCCACUGCUGCUAAUCUUCCCAAACUAGAGCAUCCUCUACGUUCAUGUCCAUUUUUCUUUUUUAUUUGGGAUUAUGUUAUAAUUACACCAUUUCUCUCCUCCUCUCAAACCCUACCAUAUAUCCGUUCUUACUCUUUUUCAAAUUCAU
This 1354-nucleotide long non-coding RNA is filed under the name Cricetulus griseus (Chinese hamster). RNAcentral describes it as "lncRNA (ENSCGRG00015035699.1)". Lineage: Eukaryota; Metazoa; Chordata; Mammalia; Rodentia; Cricetidae. The record is from RNAcentral.